AUUGAACGCUGGCGGCAGGCCUAACACAUGCAAGUCGAGCGGUAACACAGAGAGCUUGCUCUCGGGUGACGAGCGGCGGACGGGUGAGUAAUGUCUGGGAAACUGCCUGAUGGAGGGGGAUAACUACUGGAAACGGUAGCUAAUACCGCAUAACGUCGCAAGACCAAAGAGGGGGACCUUCGGGCCUCUUGCCAUCAGAUGUGCCCAGAUGGGAUUAGCUAGUAGGUGGGGUAACGGCUCACCUAGGCGACGAUCCCUAGCUGGUCUGAGAGGAUGACCAGCCACACUGGAACUGAGACACGGUCCAGACUCCUACGGGAGGCAGCAGUGGGGAAUAUUGCACAAUGGGCGCAAGCCUGAUGCAGCCAUGCCGCGUGUAUGAAGAAGGCCUUCGGGUUGUAAAGUACUUUCAGCGGGGAGGAAGGUGAUGAGGUUAAUAACCUCAUCGAUUGACGUUACCCGCAGAAGAAGCACCGGCUAACUCCGUGCCAGCAGCCGCGGUAAUACGGAGGGUGCAAGCGUUAAUCGGAAUUACUGGGCGUAAAGCGCACGCAGGCGGUCUGUCAAGUCGGAUGUGAAAUCCCCGGGCUCAACCUGGGAACUGCAUUCGAAACUGGCAGGCUAGAGUCUUGUAGAGGGGGGUAGAAUUCCAGGUGUAGCGGUGAAAUGCGUAGAGAUCUGGAGGAAUACCGGUGGCGAAGGCGGCCCCCUGGACAAAGACUGACGCUCAGGUGCGAAAGCGUGGGGAGCAAACAGGAUUAGAUACCCUGGUAGUCCACGCCGUAAACGAUGUCGACUUGGAGGUUGUGCCCUUGAGGCGUGGCUUCCGGAGCUAACGCGUUAAGUCGACCGCCUGGGGAGUACGGCCGCAAGGUUAAAACUCAAAUGAAUUGACGGGGGCCCGCACAAGCGGUGGAGCAUGUGGUUUAAUUCGAUGCAACGCGAAGAACCUUACCUACUCUUGACAUCCAGAGAACUUUCCAGAGAUGGAUUGGUGCCUUCGGGAACUCUGAGACAGGUGCUGCAUGGCUGUCGUCAGCUCGUGUUGUGAAAUGUUGGGUUAAGUCCCGCAACGAGCGCAACCCUUAUCCUUUGUUGCCAGCGGUCCGGCCGGGAACUCAAAGGAGACUGCCAGUGAUAAACUGGAGGAAGGUGGGGAUGACGUCAAGUCAUCAUGGCCCUUACGAGUAGGGCUACACACGUGCUACAAUGGCGCAUACAAAGAGAAGCGACCUCGCGAGAGCAAGCGGACCUCAUAAAGUGCGUCGUAGUCCGGAUUGGAGUCUGCAACUCGACUCCAUGAAGUCGGAAUCGCUAGUAAUCGUAGAUCAGAAUGCUACGGUGAAUACGUUCCCGGGCCUUGUACACACCGCCCGUCACACCAUGGGAGUGGGUUGCAAAAGAAGUAGGUAGCUUAACCUUCGGGAGGGCGCUUACCACUUUGUGAUUCAUGACUGGGGUG
Molecule: ribosomal RNA, 1462 nt
Filed under: Enterobacter cloacae
Lineage: Bacteria; Pseudomonadati; Pseudomonadota; Gammaproteobacteria; Enterobacterales; Enterobacteriaceae
Description: bacterial SSU rRNA
Rfam family: Bacterial small subunit ribosomal RNA
Source: RNAcentral